Molecule: small nucleolar RNA, 138 nt
Organism: Tachyglossus aculeatus (Australian echidna)
Lineage: Eukaryota; Metazoa; Chordata; Mammalia; Monotremata; Tachyglossidae
Source: RefSeq, a predicted model, not a curated record
CCCCUCUCAGGGUCGCACCCGGAGAGUUUCCAGUACUCUACCAGUCUCGUUUAUGGAAGGGACAGUCAAGCAGAGGCAAUUCCAUUCCAUUCCUAGCUUGGGCAGUAGCUAGUGAGUGGAAGCCAAUCUGCUACAGGU